Molecule: ribosomal RNA, 483 nt
Filed under: uncultured bacterium
Lineage: Bacteria
Description: bacterial SSU rRNA
Rfam family: Bacterial small subunit ribosomal RNA
Source: RNAcentral
GACGAACGCUGGCGGCGUGCCUAACACAUGCAAGUCGAGCGGAGACAGUUUGGAGCUUGCUUCGAACUGUUUUAGCGGCGGACGGGUGAGUAACGCGUGAGCAACCUUUCUCUUACUGGGGAAUAACACCGGGAAACUGGUACUAAUACCGCAUGAGACCACAAUGUCGCAUGGCAUAGGGGUCAAAGAUUUAUCGGUAAGAGGUGGGCUCGCGUCUGAUUAGAUAGUUGGUGGGUAACGGCCUACCAAAGUCGACGAUCAGUAGCCGACCUGAGAGGGUGAUUGGCCACAUUGGGACUGAGACACGGCCCAAACUCCUACGGAGGCAGCAGUGGGGAAUAUUGGGCAAUGGGGGGAACCCUGACCCAGCAACGCCGCGUGGAGGAAGAAGGUUUCGGAUCGUAAACUCCUGUCUCAGGAAGAGCAGAAGUACGGUAACCUGAGGAGGAAGCCCCGGCUAAACUACGUAGCCAGCAGCCGCGG